Long non-coding RNA from Miniopterus natalensis, 247 nucleotides. RefSeq lists it as uncharacterized. NCBI's taxonomy places the organism in Eukaryota, Metazoa, Chordata, Mammalia, Chiroptera, Miniopteridae. The record is from RefSeq and is a predicted model, not a curated record.
UGACGGAGAGUAAGUGGCGCCUCGGAAGGCGGCGUCUUGUGUGCAGUUCCUCGUUAGUAUAGUGGUUAUACAUCUGGCGUGGCAGAGACCAUUAGUUGUCUCCCCAGUAUCUGCGUUUCUUUUUAUCCUUCAUAGUAAAACUCUCGAUGGUUAGCUGGACACAUGGCCUCCCAGAAGACUACAUUUCCCAGCCUUUUGCAGUUAUGGUCACGCAACUAAGUUCUGGCCAAGUGGUACCUCGGUUUUU